This 492-nucleotide ribosomal RNA is filed under the name uncultured bacterium. RNAcentral describes it as "partial 16S ribosomal RNA". It matches the Rfam family "Bacterial small subunit ribosomal RNA", at positions 29 to 507 of the family's 1533-position model. The record is from RNAcentral.
AGUGAACGCUGGCGGUAGGCCUAACACAUGCAAGUCGAACGGCAGCACAGUAAGAGCUUGCUCUUACGGGUGGCGAGUGGCGGACGGGUGAGGAAUACAUCGGAAUCUACUUUUUCGUGGGGGAUAACGUAGGGAAACUUACGCUAAUACCGCAUACGACCUACGGGUGACAGCAGGGGAUCUUCGGACCUUGCGCGAUUGAAUGAGCCGAUGUCGGAUUAGCUAGUUGGCGGGGUAAAGGCCCACCAAGGCGACGAUCCGUAGCUGGUCUGAGAGGAUGGUCAGCCACACUGGAACUGAGACACGGUCCAGACUCCUACGGGAGGCAGCAGUGGGGAAUAUUGGACAAUGGGCGCAAGCCUGAUCCAGCCAUACCGCGUGGGUGAAGAAGGCCUUCGGGUUGUAAAGCCCUUUUGUUGGGAAAGAAAAGCAGCAGGUUAAUACCUCGCUGUUCUGACGGUACCCAAAGAAUAAGCACCGGCUAACUUCGUG